ACAAUAAAAAAAUAAAGAUACAGAGGAUAUUACAAAAAAAAUCACAUUGGCAGACCCUUGACUGAAGCGUGGCCUCUUUACCUAGGAAGCCAAUUCUCUUGGAUGGAGGGACACCCUGGAGCCAGGAGGAGAAAGCAGUCAUCACUCUGAUGGGCCCUGGGUCCAGACACUCAUCUGCCCACCAGAAAGGAGCUGCCGGGCAGUUGAGGGUGCUCUGUGCUGUGUUUGCGCUGACAUUUUUGACCCAGAAAUUGUUUAUUUUGAUGGUGGCUGCUUUUUUCUAUUAGUGGUUCUAGCACAUCCUAAAGGUGCUUACGGAGCCUUUGUGCUAAUAGUUACUCCAUGUCCCUUCCAGGCUUCUAGGGAAGAAGAAGGCAAAAGAAGCAACAUUUCUGGACAAGUGCCAAGGAAGCACAUGUGGAGCACAGGGUGACAACUGCUGUUUUCCUCUUCUAGCCAGAGAUCUUCUUUUCCCAGCCCAGAGUCCCGUGUGGUUCUCUUCCUGCAUACGGAAUUUUUGUUGCCCCUUCCCCUCAGAUCUCAUUUGACCAUCGUGGACUUCUGUGGUCCCCUCAUUUUUCAGCCUUUUUAAAAAAUUAUUUAUUUAUUUAUUUUGGUUACGUUGGGUCUUCUUUGCUGUGCAUGGGCUUUCUCUAGUUGCGUUGAGUGGGGGGCUACUCUUCGUUGUGGUGCGCAGGCUUCUCAUCGCGGCACACGCUUCUCAUCGCGAUGGCUUCUCUUGUUGCGGAGCACGGGCUCUAGGCGCACAGGUUUCAGUAGCUGUGGCACACUGGCUCAGUAGUUGUGGCUCACGGGCUUAGUUGCUCCACGGCAUGUGGGAUCUUCCCGGACCAGGACUCGAACCCGUGUCCCCUGCAUUGGCAGGCGGAUUCUAACCACUGUGCCACCAGGGAAGUCCCCAACAUCAGCCUUUCUUGCUAACAAGCUGUGCAGUCUUUGGGUCUUCCUUUAUUCAAAUUCUGGAGAGAAGGAAUCUGAUUGACUCAACCUGUCUUUGGCUUCACUUGCUCUCCUUUUGAGGUACCCGUGUCUGGAUGCACUGGUUUUGGAUCACGUGGACCUUCAGGACCAACCCUCGACUGCCAUGCAUAAGGACAAGCCUGUGCUGCUCUCCCAAAGGAGCCCUGGGGCCUGGGAGGCAGCCUACUGCUUGGCCUGGGCAGUAGUCAGAGUGCUGGAGAGGCAGUGUUGGAAAAACCAAGGGAGCUCUACAUGGGGCAAAGGCAGGGUAAGUCCUUGGUGAUGGGGCCCAGCAGUGGCUCUUAAAAUUGAAGAAACAAGUAAUUAAGCAUUCAACAGGCGCCAUGAUGGAAAAAUCUAGCAGGUGUGUGGGGAGGGUUGGGAGGGCACCAGUGCACUGAGUAUGUGAACUUGCCUUAUUCACAACCUCAAUCAAGGCCAUGAUACAAAUAAUCAAAUACUACUACUACUAAUGCUUACUCCAGGCCAGAUACUGUUCUAAGUGCCUUCCUUCCAUUAACUCAUUUAAUCCUUAAAAUGCCCUCUGAGGUAAGUACCAUUUCUAUUUUAUCCAUGAAAAACCAGACUCAGAGCGUAUAUAAAGGCCAAGUCACACAGCUAGUAAGUGGAGGAGCUGGGAUGUGCUCGUCACGACUUUGCUAUCCUACCUCCCUGGUAGGAGAGCAGGUGGCCACCUCCACCAGGCUGUUUGGGUACCAUUCAGUCCUAACUGGCCCAGAAUGUCUCCCUCAGUUCUGUCAUUCUUGCCAUCUCCCUUAGGGUUCAGAAACUCCUGCUCUUAAUCAUUAAUGUAGUGGAAGACAUGGUAACCUCAGAAGAUCUCUGGCUAGAAGAGGAAAACAGCAGUUGUCACCCUUGCCCUCUCCCAGUAGACCUUGCGUCCUAAGCGGAUGCAAAAUGAGCAUGAAGAUUUCACUCUUAGUGAGUUAACAAAGCCUGGGGCUUAAAGGAAGUGGGAAAGCAGUGAAGGGCUCCAGGAUUAACCUUGAAUUUAGGCUGAGUAAGAAGCCAAUAUGUGAUGUAUUAUAUUGAGAAGCCCCAGGGAAGAAACCUCCCUCUGCAAUACCUAUCAUUCCACCGAUUAUAGUCCUAGAGCAGCCCUGACCCACAGAACUUGCUGUGCUGAUGAAAAUGUUCUAUAUCUGCGCUGUCCAGUUCAGUAGCCACUAGCUCCAUGUAGCUAUGGAGCACUUGAAAUUUGGCUAGCGUGACUGACCAAAUUUUUUAUGUUAAUUAAUUGGAAUCUAAAUGUAAAUUGCCACAUGGGGCUAGUGGCUAUUAUCAGGGACAGGGCAGUUCUUGAGGACUCUCUAGAAUAUAUGUCCCGCUGGGAGGCUCAGACCUUAAGCAAUCAUCUGUUAAAGCCUUAGUUCAGGGAGUGCGUGCCGGGGACAGGGUGCGGGGCAGAUGCAUUUCAUUUGGCCAGAAUGUGGCUUUAGAAUCUUUCAUCUGAAAGCCUUCGGGCAGGGCAAGCACUCUCCAGUCUCUACCCCCGCUAAUUUUACUCCAGGGUCACUGCACACAUUUCGCCACCUCUGAUGGCAUGUAUAGUCGCGACCCUAGCCUUGGUAAAAGCCUUCAGUGGGUCUCAACUUGAUGUCAUUUGCUUCUCACAACAGCCUCCAAUAUGAAGGCUGAGUUGAGAUGGUUGUGUCCAUUUUGUGGGUAAGAGAAUGAAAGUCCCCAGAAGCUCCCAGGAAGGGGCAUUCUCCAAGCCUACCUCCACCUUUCCUGUCUCGUUUGCAUAGACACUGGGAGCCACCAGUUGGCUUCUGGGGCUGACCUGGCCCUGCUUUGGAACCUUGCCCAGCCCUGGCCAUAGGGAGCCCUCAGAGCACAUUUUCCCCAGCACUCCAUUCUUGUUUUCAUUCAAACAUUAUCUUGAUUCUUUUUUUUUUUUUUUUUUGCGUUACGCGGGCCUCUCACUGCCGUGGCCCCUCCCGCCACGGAGCACAGGCCCCGGACGCUUAGGCUCAGCCGCCAUGGCUCACGGGCCCAGCCGCUCCGCGGCAUGUGGGAUCUUCCCGGACCGGGAACCCACGUCGCCUGCAUCGGCAGGUGGACUCUCAACCACUGCGCCACCAGGGAAGGCCCUCUUGAUUCAUUUUUAAUGCAACCCAGCUGCCGCCCCAAGGCUUACUUAAUACACCACUUUCACUUGACUGUGUGCCUGCCUGUCUGCCUGGGCUUUGCAGCCUUCUGUUGUGCUUUCAAAGUUGAAAACGCUUGGGGUCCAUCAGCAGGUUCAACUGGGUGAACUGAGAGGGAAAAAAACCCAAUCUUCCAACUCUACCUCCACCCAAAGCCUGCCCCCUAGGCCUUUCCUCUACAUCAAACCUGAUCCUAGCCCCAUCCCAGUUUUCCACUGGCCUCACACUGCUUAUCUCUAGGCUUCUGGAAUUUAACACCUGCUUGACCCUCUGCCCCCUCAACCACCCAGCAGGGCCUCCACUCAAGUUUCCUGCCUCCCUGACAGGGGAGCGGGCCCAUGCUGAGCUGUCUGCCUUCCAGCUUUCCCACCAAUUACCUUCCCUUUCUGGAGACUUUGAGUUUACACUACUAUGGGACGGUGGCCAAAGAAAGAGACCUGCGUGCAAUCAGGAGGUGCAGUUGUAUGACCUUGGGCAAGUAAUUUAACCUCUCAGAGUCUCAGUUUCCAAAACUGGGAUUUUCAGGGCUUGGACUGGAUUAAUGGUUUUUCAAACUGUUUUUCUCAGGAGGGUUUUUCAGAGACUUCACAGAAGGCUGGAAGUUGGGGGUUGGGGGUGGGAGGUUGGGUGGUGGGGAGGAAAACCAAGUGGACAGGAACUUCAGGAUUUCCCCUACCCGCUUUGAUCAGAGAACCCACCUUAACCUGAUUAAUGGACCAGGCUUCUAAAAUGCUGCUGAAAGAGAAAGAGAGAGGGAGAGAGAUCGAAAACUCCAGAUUAACCAUAAGUAGAUGAUCCAAAAAGAUGCUUACAGCUUUAGCAUGGUGGAGUCAAAGUCUUUUCUCCCCAGUGGGUUACAGGCCACACAGUUGGGGCCCAGUCAAUGCCCGUGGAAGGAAGGAAGGAAGGAACAAUGGAGACUUUCUGUGGUGUUCCACGUGUGUCUCCUCUUAGCAGCCAGACCGAAAGACUUCAUCUUGCAUUUCUCUUGCAUUCUCCAGAGAGCUCCCGGCACAGGCCUGCAGUCUGGUCUCAAACCCUCUUCCUAACUGGAAGUUGGGGUAGGGGGUAGAAGUUGGGGGAAGGACCUCUGGGAGACAGAGCCUGUAACCCUGACCGUAAUGUAUAAUAAAACAAAUGCCAAAGCUCAGGGGGCGAGUCCCGCCUCCUUUACUACCCCGUGAUCUCUGACAGGGGGAAAGGAAGAAGGAGCACCCUAGGGGUGAGAAAGAAAGAGUACAUUGGAGUAGCACUCCCUCCUGGAGAGAUUAGGGACCCAAUGUGAGACCUCUCUCAGAGGGGGCUGCAUCUCCAGGGGAUCCUAGAGAGAGGAAUUCCCAAACCAGAGGCCACAUGUGACCCACAAAUGCUUGUGGGUUUGGUCAGAUCAUGAUAACAUCAAGAGUUUUGUAAAAAAAAAAUAAAUAAUAAUUCAUUGCUGGUAUUAAAAAACAGGUAUUUAAAAGAAUUUUUUUACAUAAAAAUUUAGGUUUCUGGCUUCUUUUGGAAAAUUGGAAGAACUGAAAGUGCUGGUCAUAUAUUCCCACUGGGCAAGAGUUGGUUGUGCUGAGCAUCUGCUACUUUCCUUAAACCUUCACUAAAACAUCCGCUUGCUGGUUUGCCACAGUCCCUACCACUCCCUACUGCUCCCUAUCGUUAUGUCUGAUCUCCUUCUCCCAUUUAUGCCACUGCCUGGCUCCUGUAGCAUCUGAGCUUGUGACUUUUGACUUUAUCCAAAGAGAUUACACUGGCACAGAGAACCAUAAGGGCAAUAUUCCUGAGCAGAGGAAUAUCCCCCUGCUCCUAACACCAUUUCAUUAGGGAGGCCACCCUUCCUGAAAGAGGUAAAUCCUACCACACAGCCUCACAGAUCGUGAAGAGCAUUCGAUUGCCAAAGGGUUUGGAAAAAAAUUUGUAUAGAUCUGCCCAGCUCCCUGUCCCCACAGCCUGCCCCCUCCAGCAUCAACAGCUGCCCGUUGCAUCAUCAGUAGCAGCAAACUCAGGCCCCAGUCGCUCAUCCUCUGUGACCCAGGAGAGAGUCAACCUUGUGCCCAGGCCCGGCCUAACCUUGCAGUCUGUUCCAUCAUCAGGGCCAUUUGCUUUGUGCCUGCUGACCAUCAUGUUUGUGUAGCCCCUUGCGUGAAUACCUGCCUUGGUUUCCUACCAGCCCUGAAAGGCUCUGGGAACUGAGUUGUGCCCUUCCCUCUCAUGCAAGGUCUUUGCAGCUGAGUCCUGUCCCUGGAACACCAGCUGCUGCCACCAGACUCCUUCAGCUGUGAGACUGCCUUCCUUCUGCCUCUGCCUUUCCCAGAGGCUGGCCUGCUCCCACCCCUUAGAGCAGGUCUUGUCCUAUUGCCUGCCUGGCCCUGUGCAGGAUGCUGCCAGCACAGGCAAAGCUUGUUUAGGGAGUGGGGUUUAGGUGGGAUUUCAGCCCCCCCCUCCUUCAGCCAUCACCUUUGUGCAUGAUCGCACAGCUCUGAGUAAGUUUGCCUGGGUCCUGAGCCUGGGCCAUCUCUGUUUGGCUUCAUCCUCCCACUGACCCAGCUUCAUUUCUGAUAUCCAUCCCCCAGUUUCCCAGCAUUACCUGUUCCUCCUCGUCUGACACCUAAUCCUGGGGCAACACGCAAUGAAUAUAAUAAUAAUUAACAUAUUGAGAUUCUAUCUGAGACAGUGUAUGAAGCACUGUACAUUUAUUAUUAUAUUUAAUUCUUACAACAACCAGGAAAUGUAUAACUGCUGUCCCCAUUUUCCAGAUGAGGAAACUGAGGCAUAGAGAGAUCAAGGAAUUUUCCCAAGGCCCACCACCAGUGAGUGACAACACUAGGAUUCAAACCUAGGUCUGUCUAUUGCCAAAGCUUAAGCUCUUAACCUCUCGGCUCUGUCUACCAAAUCAAAGAAAACUGGAAAUGAGACUCAGAGAAGCCAAUCAUUUGUUUAAGAUCACACAGCUCAUCAGUGGUAGAGCUCGAAUUCAAAACUCAGGGAACCUGAGCCUGUGGCCUCUCAGGUGUCUCUGAUUCCUGAUGAAAGGAUCUGGGGUGUGGGCCCUGGUAUCCUGGUGUCCUGGCCCCUGGCCAGGUUUUCCAGUUGCUUCUAGGUCUCGGCCUCUGCUGAAUUGCUGUGGACAUCCUGCCACCCAACAUGAGGAUGAAGCCCACUCGAGGAUGGCAGAGCAGGAGGGAAAGGACUCCUUGAGCUGCGGUGUCAACACUCUGAGCCUGCCCUUCCUCUGAACCUGCCCUUCCUCUGAACCUGCGCUAUGAAGGAUAACUGAGAGUGAGGACUAUUCCAGAAAGCAAUGGGGAUCCAGACACGUGGACAUCCUUAAUCCCUCCAACAGUGUUCCUGGUAGCCAUGAGCUCCAUUCCCACAGAGGUCAGUUGAUUCUCUUGCUUCUCUAUGGAUUUGCUUGGAGGGCAAAUGGUUUGGAGUGAGUGUUGGAGCAAAAUCCCACAGCAGAGGUUUCUCCCCCUUCUGGAAAACAUACUUUGUUUUUGUCAAACACCAGGUAUUCAGAGAAAGUUGCCUUUUGUCUCAACUGGGAGCAGACUUUGGUGGGCCUGAGGUGGAUUUCUUUAUUUUAAAAUAAAUAAAUUUAUUUAUUUAUUUUUAUUUUUGCCUGCGAUGGGUCUUUGCUGCUGCACCGGGCUUUCUCUAGCUGCACCGGGCUUUCUCUAGCUGCAAUGAGUGGGGGCUGCUCUUCAUUGCGGUGCGUGGGCUUCUCAUUGCGGUGGCUUCUCUUGUUGUGGAGCAUGGGCUCUAGGUGCGCGGGCUUUGGUAGUUGCGGCACGCGAGCUCAGUAGUUGUGGUGCACGGGCUUAGUUGCUCUGUGGCAUGUGGGAUCUUCCCAGACCAGGGCUCGAACCUGUGUCCCCUGCAUUGGCAGGCGGAUUCUCAACCACUGCGCCACCAGGGAAGUCCCCUGAGGUGGAUUUUCAAUCUUCUUUGCCUGCAUCUGACUCAGAACUGGUGGAUGGAGUCACUGCGGGUGUGGGAGAGAAAAAGCAAAUUCGCCAGAGGUAUCAGCCCUGCCCCCAGCAGAAGCCCGAGUGGGGUCUGGAGUGUUGACACUCACGGGCUGAGGCUGAGAUCAGCUGUCACUGCAGACAGAGCUGUUUCUUAUUUUAAUACUGCGGCAUAAACUGAGAGACUGCAAGUGCAGCUUCCAGCAGGGGCUGCAGCUCAGGGCUCUUAAUAUGUCCUUAGAACAGGCCUGCAGAGACUGGCUUCCUGGGAGCCGCAAGAGCUGGGGGCCUCGUGCUCAGCACCACACCCCCUCCUCCCAGGCCCUGCCUGCUGCAUUGCACCAUUGAUUCAGCGAAGACAUCAUCCUCACCCCCUUUGGAGAGCAGCUCGCUGCUCUGCUCUGACAAUUAGACUAGCUGCUGCAAAGAAGCACUCAUCCCCGCUGACAUAUGGCUGUUUAAAGUGAUCAAUUGCAUUAGCAAAUUUCUUAUUAGCUCUGCUGUCAGGAGGGAGCUCCUGCCACAUUAGCUCGCUGAGGUUGAUGCAUAACUUCCCGGCUGUUAAUUACCAAUGCCAAGGACUAAAGAGAUUCAGAGGCUGGUGAGUGGGUGGGUGGAGGCUCCCAUUCUCUCUACGCCUCCCGUGGGAGGUCAGGGAAGCUGGGGCUUGGUGUUGAGCUUCUCAGGUCUGACUCUGCAGUGGCUCUGCACUUUGGGCUCCUGAUCUUGGGGGGUAGGGCCCAGGAUGCCCAGUACCAUCUGGGUUGAUGGAGGUUGGGUUGUCCAAUAGGGCCUCCGGGAUUUGGCAGCUUGGAAUCUGCACAGCGUCUCUUUUGGAGCUGCAUUUUCGAGGCAGAGCCUGGACUGCAUCCCAGAAAGUUUCUCUGGCCUCUCCUUGUGGGGUUCAAGGCCGCCGAUCCUCCUCAUUCCUCGUCCCCUCACUCCAGACAGCUCAAGAGUCUCCUCCCUGAAGGUGACCUCAUGUCUCCUGCUCAGAUCUUCUUUUGGUGACUAUCCAAAGAACUGUAUAUUCAGGAUGUUAAACCCCCGACUUCCAUGGGCUCAGGCUUCCCUUUUAGAUGAGGAAUUGCAUAAAACUCACACGCACUGGGGAGCGAAAUGAGAGGAGGCGAAUUUCAAAUCCUUGUUUUACCUAUUGCCCCAGACUAGUAAAACCAUUUGGAGGGUCUCUGAUUCCUUUGAGAAUCAGACAGAA
This is a long non-coding RNA of Orcinus orca (killer whale), 8333 nucleotides long. RefSeq lists it as uncharacterized. The record is from RefSeq and is a predicted model, not a curated record. NCBI's taxonomy places the organism in Eukaryota, Metazoa, Chordata, Mammalia, Artiodactyla, Delphinidae. The transcript has 4 exons.